This 254-nucleotide ribosomal RNA is filed under the name uncultured prokaryote. Its description in RNAcentral is "partial 16S ribosomal RNA". It matches the Rfam family "Bacterial small subunit ribosomal RNA", at positions 525 to 777 of the family's 1533-position model. The record is from RNAcentral.
ACGUAGGGUGCGAGCGUUGUUCGGAAUUACUGGGCGUAAAGCGCGCGCAGGCGGCCUUUUAAGUCUGACGGUGAAAUGCCGGGGCUCAACCCCGUGCCCGCCGGAGAUACUGGGAGGCUGGAGACGAGUAGAGGCAAGCGGAAUUCCGGGUGUAGCGGUGGAAUGCGUAGAGAUCCGGAAGAACACCGGAGGCGAAGGCGGCUUGCUGGGCUCGGUCUGACGCUGAGGCGCGAAAGCGUGGGGAGCGAACAGGA